GCUCGAGUGGUGGAAUAGGCAGACACAACGGACUUAAAAUCCGUCGGACUAACCCUCCGUGCCGGUUCGAGUCCGGCCUCGAGCACCA
RNAcentral lists this transfer RNA (88 nucleotides) under Clostridiaceae bacterium. RNAcentral describes it as "tRNA-Leu". It matches the Rfam family "tRNA". From Rfam's summary of the family: Transfer RNA (tRNA) molecules are approximately 80 nucleotides in length. Their secondary structure includes four short double-helical elements and three loops (D, anti-codon, and T loops). Lineage: Bacteria; Bacillati; Bacillota; Clostridia; Eubacteriales; Clostridiaceae. The record is from RNAcentral.